Molecule: small nuclear RNA, 107 nt
Filed under: Dasypus novemcinctus (nine-banded armadillo)
Lineage: Eukaryota; Metazoa; Chordata; Mammalia; Cingulata; Dasypodidae
Source: RNAcentral
GUGCUUGCUUUGGCAGCACAUAUACUAAAAUUGGAAUGAUACAGAGAAGAUUAGCAUGGCCCCUGCAUAAGGAUGACACACAAAUUCAUGAAAUGUUCCAUAUUUUU